RNAcentral lists this ribosomal RNA (251 nucleotides) under uncultured prokaryote. RNAcentral's name for it is "partial 16S rRNA". It matches the Rfam family "Bacterial small subunit ribosomal RNA", at positions 525 to 775 of the family's 1533-position model. The record is from RNAcentral.
ACGGAGGAUGCGAGCGUUAUCCGGAUUUACUAGGUUUAAAGGGUGCGUAGGUGGCUUUAUAAGUCAGUGGUGAAAUCUCACGGCUCAACUGUGAAAUUGCCAUUGAUACUGUGGAGCUUGAGUAGAGUUGAGGCAGGCGGAAUGUGUAAUGUAGCGGUGAAAUGCAUAGAUAUUACACAGAACACCGAUUGCGAAGGCAGCUUGCUAAACUUUUACUGACACUGAUGCACGAAAGCGUGGGGAUCAAACAG